Molecule: unclassified non-coding RNA, 337 nt
Filed under: Hevea brasiliensis (rubber tree)
Lineage: Eukaryota; Viridiplantae; Streptophyta; Magnoliopsida; Malpighiales; Euphorbiaceae
Source: RNAcentral
ACGUCCAUAAAGUAAAAAAGCAGAAUUACUGACGUGGCAGCUCAACGUCAGCAAGAUUAAGAUUAAACUAAUGGCAGAAAAUGACUUUAAGCUCACGUGGCGCAGCGCACUCGUGCAUGAGCGACGGAGUAUCGUGAGCGUAGGUGAAUGUAGAAGGACAAGCGUGUUUAAAAAAGAGUGAAAACGACGACGCUUUGCAAGUCUGUGGGCUAUUGUAAUGUCCUCUACAGCAGAGCGCGUCGUUGUUGAAGGCUUCGCAGCCGCUCUUACAGGCUAUGACUUGGCCGUAGCGGUGCGGAGCGUGGACUUGGAGCUCGCGUGGGCAAGUCUGGAGGAG